ACGCGUUCUCCGGCAAGAGUGGUUUCAGCUGUUUUUUUGGACGUGCUAGUAGUUAACUCAUGGGAUAGAAAUACUACCGGGAGUGGUGAGAAACAAGACCUAGAAAGCUCAGAGAAAAGCAGAUGGAGAGUGGAGCUCUUGUCUGUCUUCUCGGCUCCUAACGGCAGCCCCAGAUUCGCAAUGAAGAGCCCCACGCCACAUGAAAUGUGAGCAAGUCCACCCACCUCAUCUACCCUGGCGGCCAGUUCCUCGUUGGACCAGAUCCCUUCUAUCAUAAGCUCCUCCUCAGCACAUGGUUAUUACUGGAAUGCUGGUGGUUUGGGCAACUCUUUUUCUGGUGAGAUGGUGCAGUGGGAAGGUACAUCCCACUUCCAGCGGGUUGUCCCUCGGUGCUGGCUUGGCUUCUUGGGAAAAGAGUGAAGAAUCAGAGCCUACACGCUGCUGCUGAGCUCCACAGCCUCCAUCUUGCCUCCUCCUGUUUAGACGAUGCGGGUCCUAGUUCUGGGAAGCCCUUCCACCGGAUCGCAGAGCCUCUCUGAACUUCAGGCUCCUCAUCUAUAAAAUGGACCUCCCAAGGUGGUGGUUUAGUGCUGUCAGGGACAUGUUGGCAGGAGGACCGUGUGAGCUGUUGUGUCCACAGUAGCCUGGAAAGGCCCUUCCCGCUGAGGCGUAUGGCCCAAUGAAGUUGGAGGGGUGAAUUCGAAGCAAGACCUCAAGCAGGGGGUGAAGCGGACAUGAUGUAGAGAAGCUGCUGCUGAUGGCAAUGGGACCAGAAAAGGGGGGCCUAAGGAAGAGAGAACAUGAGAAGCAAAAAGGGCAGCCCCUUAACCUUCAACCUCAGAGGCUCGUGAGGGAGAAACCCAGUCAGGUCUGAGGGGAGAUCUCACAGCAAGGGGGUGGGUGGGACUUGACUCAGAUUGCAGUGGGGAGAAAUUUUAAUGACACCCCCUCCCUAGCAAACCAGCGAUGCAAGAUGGUGCCAGCACAAUAUGGUGCCAAUCAGGAGGUGGUUUGGAAUGGCUGAGGAAGGGAGUCUGGGAAGUGGCUUCAUGCAACGCUGCUCGUUCUAGUGAGAAUGCAGCCAGGUAGUCCUAGGUCCCAGGGGCCGCAGAGCCAAGAUCUGCCUCACCAGCUAUGUGCAGGGACCAUGCACUUUGGCUUCACCUCUUCCUGCCCCUACCCCACCAGCAAGCCCCAGGGACCAGAACCAUCUCUGUCCUGCGUGUGUGUGUGUGUGUGUGUGUGUGUGUGUGUGUGUAAGAAUGCAGGGGACUCCACUCAGACCUUCAACCCUCUUGUCCCACCACCGUGAGGCCCAUGAACAUCUCUCUGCACCAGGAAAUUAUCUUGGCUGGGAGAAGGCGGAAGGGUGAGAAAACCUUGGAAUACUGAGCAAUUUUACUCAAAAGAGACUGAGUUAAUCAUACAGAAAUGGAGCUAUGUCUAAGGGGCAAUUUAAUGCUUUCUUUUUGUUUGUUUUCUUUUUGCCCGUCAGUAGUAGGAAUUAUCAGAUCACGAUGAGAAGAGUAUAAGAAAAAGUAAGAACAAUACUGAUUUGACCCAUCUGGGUAGGUGUGUGUGUGUGAUCUUUAGCCCUCCCACAAUUAUGUCUGUACACGUUUGCUGGGGCAACUGUAUAUUUUCAAUUCCAAUCGUCAGACCUUUCCUUGAAGCUCACGUGUGUUUUGAUCUGGCCAGGAAUUGAGAAUCAUAAAAUCAUUAAAUCUGUAUUAAUUACCUAUUGCUGCAUAGUAAGUUAAUCCAAAAUUUAGCUGAAAUAAAUAUGUAUUAUC
RNAcentral lists this long non-coding RNA (1793 nucleotides) under Sus scrofa (pig). RNAcentral describes it as "lncRNA (ENSSSCG00050025230.1)". Lineage: Eukaryota; Metazoa; Chordata; Mammalia; Artiodactyla; Suidae. The record is from RNAcentral.